Molecule: long non-coding RNA, 996 nt
Filed under: Ananas comosus (pineapple)
Lineage: Eukaryota; Viridiplantae; Streptophyta; Magnoliopsida; Poales; Bromeliaceae
Description: long non-coding RNA (ACOM_LNC028183)
Source: RNAcentral
AAAAAAAUAUUACAAUUUUACUAUUAGUUCUAAUUCAUUCUUUCCUUCUUAUAUAUACCAAAUACUUUUAAUUACCUUCCAUUUAUUUACAUAUAAUUUCUGACAAAAUCAGGUUUUCUUUAGUCCACGUGGAGGUAUUUUCUUAAUUUGGGCAGGUAUACUUUCUAAUUAAAUUCCAUUUCCUUUUAUCGACAUGUCAGAAUUUCUUUAUAUUUAGGCUUUUGUGCGAAAUACCUAUCAGUUUAACUAUUUUACUUAAUUAUAGAUUUGUAUGGAAUUUGUGUCGGCCCUAUCUGUCAGCUUAACUUAUCUAUUGGCUUAACUCAUAUUUUACACAGUAAAUUAACCAGGAUGACAAUUGCGAAAUAAUUGCAACCAGUGUGUUAUGUAUAUUAUUUUUUUCGAUUGUUGUGAUGGUGUUUUCUUACUAUUUCUGUUUAAAAUUAUUUGACUAUAAGUUUUACAACUUAUAUAUUCUAAUUAAUUUUGUAAGUUGCUGCUUCACUUGAUUUUUGUACUACUGCAAUCGCAUAUUUUUUGGACAGCCGGUUAGUAAUAUUUUUUAACCGACUUUUUCUAUUAGUCAUAUUUCAUUCUUUCUUUAAUUCUUUACUGACUAUUGCCUUUUCUUUCAGCCAACUCUUGUACUCUUUCCUCGACUUAUACAACUCUCAGUUUUAUUGUAUCUAUGGUCACUUCUACUAUUGUUGAUUAACUGCUUAUACUUUUAUUUGUUUGUUACUCAAAAUUUUUUAAUUCUUCUUAUAUAUUUACUAUUUCAUUUUUCUUUAGCUUUUUUUUGUAAGAUUUCAAAUAUUUCUUCAGUUUAACUAUGCAUCAAAUUUUAUUCUCAUAUAGUUUUAUUUUUUUUACUCUUUUUUUUGUUCUCUAUGUUGCAAGUAUGAUAUGUUAUUUAUAUUGUAACGAAAAUAAUCAACUAUUAUAAGUUAAAUAUUGAAUAUUACCUACCCGCCGCAUCGCGCGGGUCACUGCACU